AAUGAACGCUGGCGGCGCGCCUAAUACAUGCAAGUCGAGCGAGAAGACGUAGCAAUACGUUUGUAAAGCGGCGAACGGGUGAGGAAUACAUGGGUAACCUACCCUCGAGUGGGGAAUAACUAGCCGAAGGUUAGCUAAUACCGCGUACGCUCCUUGGACUUCGGUUCAGGGAGGAAAGCGAUACCGUGGGUAUCGCGCUCUUGGUUGGGCUCAUGUCCUAUCAGCUUGUUGGUGAGGUAACGGCUCACCAAGGCUUCGACGGGUAGCUGGUCUGAGAGGACGAUCAGCCACACUGGCACUGCGACACGGGCCAGACUCCUACGGGAGGCAGCA
Molecule: ribosomal RNA, 333 nt
Filed under: uncultured bacterium
Lineage: Bacteria
Description: bacterial SSU rRNA
Rfam family: Bacterial small subunit ribosomal RNA
Source: RNAcentral